CCUUUGUACACACCGCCCGUCGCUACUACCGAUUGAAUGGCUCAGUGAGGCGUUCGGACUGGCUCGGGGAGGUUGGCAACGACCACCCCAAGCCGGAAAGUUCGUCAAACUCGGUCAUUUAGAGGAAGUAAAAGUCGUAACAAGGUCUCCGUAGGUGAACCUGCGGAGGGAUCAUUACACAAUAAACAUAUGAAGGCUGCACCGCCAGUUGGCGGCAAGGCUGGAGUAUUUUAUUACCCUUGUCUUUUGCGCACUUGUUGUUUCCUGGGCGGGUUCGCCCGCCACCAGGACCACAUGAUAAACCUUUUUUAUGCAGUUGCAAUCAGCGUCAGUACAACAAAUGUAAAUCAUUUACAACUUUCAACAACGGAUCUCUUGGUUCUGGCAUCGAUGAAGAACGCAGCGAAAUGCGAUACGUAGUGUGAAUUGCAGAAUUCAGUGAAUCAUCGAAUCUUUGAACGCACAUUGCGCCCUUUGGUAUUCCAAAGGGCAUGCCUGUUCGAGCGUCAUUUGUACCCUCAAGCUUUGCUUGGUGUUGGGCGUUUUGUCUUUGGUUGCCAAAGACUCGCCUUAAAACGAUUGGCAGCCGGCCUACUGGUUUCGCAGCGCAGCACAUUUUUGCGCUUGCAAUCAGCAAAAGAGGACGGCACUCCAUCAAGACUCUUUAUCACUUUUGACCUCGGAUCAGGUAGGGAUACCCGCUGAACUUAAGCA
Molecule: small RNA, 714 nt
Filed under: Curvularia affinis
Lineage: Eukaryota; Fungi; Ascomycota; Dothideomycetes; Pleosporales; Pleosporaceae
Description: eukaryotic LSU rRNA
Rfam family: Eukaryotic small subunit ribosomal RNA (bases 1-177)
Source: RNAcentral